CGAAAUGCGAUAAGUAGUGUGAAUUGCAGAAUUCGGUGAAUCAUCGAAUCUUUGAACGCACAUUGCGCCCCUUGGUAUUCCAUGGGGCAUGCCUGUUCGAGCGUCAUUUGUACCCUCAAGCUCUGCUUGGUGUUGGGUGUUUGUCCCCGUCUCCGCGCGUGGACUCGCCCCAAAGUGAUUGGCAGCCGGCGUACUGGUCCCGGAGCGCAGCACAUGUCGCGCAAACGAGUGCCUUGGUACGGCGGCGUCCAUAAGCCCCUCUCUCACGCUCUUGACCUCGGAUCAGGUAGGGAUACCCGCUGAACUUAAGC
RNAcentral lists this unclassified non-coding RNA (311 nucleotides) under plant metagenome. Its description in RNAcentral is "partial contains 5.8S ribosomal RNA, internal transcribed spacer 2, and large subunit ribosomal RNA". The stretch from base 1 to 106 matches the Rfam family "5.8S ribosomal RNA", at positions 49 to 154 of the family's 154-position model. The record is from RNAcentral.